Arabidopsis lyrata subsp. lyrata is the source of this 481-nucleotide long non-coding RNA. RefSeq lists it as uncharacterized. Lineage: Eukaryota; Viridiplantae; Streptophyta; Magnoliopsida; Brassicales; Brassicaceae. The record is from RefSeq and is a predicted model, not a curated record. The transcript is spliced from 3 exons.
GGCCGUCGUUCCGGCGUUAGCUCAUCAUCUCCACUGAUGCUGGUUGUCGAGGGCGUCUUCGGUUCACCAAAUCGGCGAUUCCUGGCUUACGAAAUCGGGGAUAAUUGCAGGAGAUCUUCGAGUUUCGAUUCGAAUCGGUGACAAUCGGUUUGUCAAGGAAAUGCAAAGAUCUCAGUAGUAUUGGUGACACAGUUGUGAUCUCUGUGACAAAAGAAGGGGUGAAGUUUUCAACAGUAGGCCAAGAUCUUUCACUUCGGAUCUAUCAGUUUGAUUGGGAAUAAAGCUGCAAGGAAAAAGAUCAUGAGUAUCUGAAAUUUAGUUGAUGUUAGAAAGUUUGGAGACCACAAGUACUCAUUUUAUGCUUUGUACACCAUGUAUCAUUGGAUUGCUUUGCUAUAAAUAUCACCAUGUAUUACACUAUAUUUUUCAUUCCCUUUUGUUAUCUUUUAUUCAAAUCAAUACAAAACUCUCUUUCUCUUUU